RNAcentral lists this transfer RNA (85 nucleotides) under Helicobacter felis. Its description in RNAcentral is "tRNA-Leu(tag)". It matches the Rfam family "tRNA". Rfam says of the family: Transfer RNA (tRNA) molecules are approximately 80 nucleotides in length. Their secondary structure includes four short double-helical elements and three loops (D, anti-codon, and T loops). RNAcentral also lists the same sequence under 4 other names. The record is from RNAcentral. Lineage: Bacteria; Pseudomonadati; Campylobacterota; Epsilonproteobacteria; Campylobacterales; Helicobacteraceae.
GCGGAAGUGGCGAAAUUGGUAGACGCACCAGACUUAGGAUCUGACGCCGCAAGGCGUGGAGGUUCGAUUCCUCUCUUCCGCACCA